GCGGAGGAAAAGCAACUAACAUGGAUUCCCUUAGUAACGGCGAGUGAAGAGGGAAGAGCCCAAGAUUGAAAGCUGGCGUCUUCGGCGUCCGCAUUGUAAUCUCAAGAAGUGUUUUCCGCUUCGGACCAUGCCUAAGUCCCUUGGAAAAGAGCAUCAUAGAGGGUGAUAAUCCCGUACAUGGCAUGGAGCGCCCGAAGCUUUGUGAUACGCUUUCUAAGAGUCGAGUUGUUUGGGAAUGCAGCUCAAAAUGGGUGGUAAAUGCCAUCUAAGGCUAAAUAUUGGGGAGAGACCGAUAGCGAACAAGUACAGUGAUGGAAAGAUGAAAAGAACUUUGAAAAGAGAGUUAAACAGUACGUGAAAUUGCCAAAAGGGAAGGGUAGGAGGUCAGAGAUGCGUUCUGGGAUUCAGCCUUGCUUUUGCUUGGUGUUUUUCCCAGAUGGCAGGCCAACGUCGGUUUUGGGCACUGGAGAAGGGUGGAAGGAACGUGGCACCUCUCGGGGUGUGUUAUAGCCUUCUACUGGAUACAGUGACCGAGACCGAGGACAGCAGCGUACUCGCAAGAGCGGGCCUUCGGGCACCUUACGCUAGGGCGUGCA
This 596-nucleotide ribosomal RNA is filed under the name Ustilago nunavutica. Its description in RNAcentral is "LSU rRNA". It matches the Rfam family "Eukaryotic large subunit ribosomal RNA", at positions 50 to 605 of the family's 3401-position model. The record is from RNAcentral. Lineage: Eukaryota; Fungi; Basidiomycota; Ustilaginomycetes; Ustilaginales; Ustilaginaceae.